This is a long non-coding RNA of Dromaius novaehollandiae (emu), 11027 nucleotides long. RefSeq lists it as uncharacterized. The transcript has 5 exons. NCBI's taxonomy places the organism in Eukaryota, Metazoa, Chordata, Aves, Casuariiformes, Dromaiidae. The record is from RefSeq and is a predicted model, not a curated record.
GGCGGCGGGCGCGCUGCGAUUGGCCGGCCGCCGCCCCGGCUGGACGCGGGCGAGGCGCCUCGAGUUUGGGCAGUGCUGAGGGGAGAGGCGGUUGCAUCGCCCGGCGGAAGCGGGGCCGCUGGCGGGGCGGAAGAGCCAGCCCGCGCGGCCGCUCCCCGGCGUGCCGUUCCCCGCGGCCCUGGGGAAGCGCGUGUUGCAGCACGGGAAGUGAAGCCCGCGAGGUUUCGGGGAGGCCGCAGGAAACGCUCUCCGGCUGGACCGAGUUGGCGGCGGUGGUUUAGGAUGAUGAAGGCAUGGCAGAGGUUCAGGACUACGGUGCAAUGAUACCACCACCAAAAACGACCCAAAGGCCCCUCGUUCCUCCUCCCGGACAGGCGCUGCUGGAGCAGUGCACUCGCCUGCGCACCCCAGUCCGUCCCAGGCUGCCCCGAGGAAGGGUGACGGCCACACGGCUUCGGGGCCCAGACUCCACGAGAGGCAGGAUUUGGCAGAGGAAUGCCUGGAAAAAAGGGCAGGAGCAGAACAAAGGUGCAGCUGAAUAAUUAAACCCAGGCGAGGAGGAAUCGGCAGAGCCCGGCUACUCACGCGAGAGGGAGUCCAGCUCUACGCAAACGAGGCGAGGCUCCCUCCUUCCAUGGUGCCCAUACAAAGAAGGGUUAAUCAAAGCAGAACUCGAUGCAUUUUGGCUUCCCGGCAGUGAGAUGCACUCCAGGUAGGGUAUCUGCUCAAGUGCAGCCGUCUCUGAGUGGGUAAAUGAGGGAGGGAAAGUGGAGUUGACCACAGCAGGGGAAAAUUCUGAGUUACAAGUAGCCGGAAAAAGCUAUCGUCAUCAGAACAACUGGCUGUUUCUAACUGAUAGUGACGUUCCUGCACCACAAACCACGUGGAACCUGGUUUCUUGGUGGCAAAACUGUUAGAAGGGAUCCUGCCAAGACACAAGUCCUAGAUCGAGGGAAUAUGCAUAUUGGGAAAUGCUGCAGAGGCCCUAACCGAAUAAUUUCUCGGACCCUGGAGCCUCUCACGACACUCCUUGCUGUACGUAUUUUGCAGGUAAGGAAGCUAAACACAGCAUAUUCCCACAGCACACGAAUGGUAGAAACCAGGAGUCCGGGUCUCCGGGGCCCUGCUCAGGCCUCCAGACAGGCAGAGCAAUGCUGGAUGUUUCACCUUGUCAGAUGGCAGGAACAAAGAACACAGAAAAAGGAGAAAAAACCAAGAGCCUUGGCCUCCGAGCCCAGGGGAGCAUCACAAAGCUCCUCCUGAGAAGAAAUACAGCCCCCGUUGAGUCGCAGCCGCCUCCGGCUCAGAUUGGGCUUCUUGAUCACCCCUUGGGGCGAGGGGAUUCACGGGCCUUCGUGGGAGCGCCUGCACCGCGCUGGAGCAGCUGGGCUGUAACCCGGGGGUGCUCUGCGCUGCGCUCAGGUAUCGGUCUGACGAGACGUCCUGGGUGUAAACGGCCGGCAGGUUUAAUACAGUUACAAGCAAGGAAAGAGGGCCUGGAAAACAUCUGGACGUCAGGACCUGAACUCCGUUUGCCCGGCUGCCACCGUCGUGUUGCGUGCUCCCAGUCGCAGUGUCCUGCCCGCAUCUAUCUCAGCCACUGCGGCUGGAAAAACGGAUCUGACUCCAGCCUCCGGAAGGUGGACGAGGACUGCAUUAACUCGUGACUGGAGUGCUUUGAGGUCACCCCGAUAAGACAGCGGGGGAGGACAGGCUGCAGACGUGGACAGUGUGACCACGACACGCAGUGCUGGCAGGAGGGGGGGGUUCUGCUCUCCGCCAGACCCGCACCGCGGAGGAGCCUGGGUGGGCGGCGGUGCAGACUGCACAGCACUGACCGGUUUGAGACCAAUUACUAUUUGCCGCUUGACUCAUGAAACAGAACGGACAUGUUAGGCAGCCCGAAGGAAUGGCGUUCACCUCGCGCUCAGCCCGUCUUCGCCACGGUGCAGUACGCCUUCUUGAGCAGUUCAAAGUCAAACUCACCAGGCAGCAUUUGGGGUGAAAUCAGGUGAAACGCACUCUUUUGAAGCUACUCCCCAACAGGGAGGAGGGACGGGACAGGAACUGAGGAGCCUGACAUGCGGCUGCGGUUUGCUUCUGCGUUCAGCUGAACACUGUCCUGCCCCAAGCUGCUUCCCCGUUCCCCUCCCCGACUCCGCGCGGCCCCGGGACACACCUCGAAGCGCACGGUGCUGCACGCGCGGUUGCGUGCGGCUGCGGCACCCUGCUCCGCGCGUGCCUGCCCUUCUGCGCCGCUGACCGGGAUGACUUCCCCGGGGGCCUGUUCCUGUGGGAAAGCCAAGGAGAGAGAAAAGCAUUAAGGAGUUUUGUACAAAUUGGCCUCGCUAGCAAUGCAAGCCCAGAAACCCAGUGUAAAAUGAGGGUAAGUGAGGCUGCGGAGUCAGCUCCCCUCGGUACAACUCAGGCUGGAGCUUUAAACUCAAGAUAGAUGCACUGUUUUGCUCUUCAUUGCCAUAAAUGGCAUCCUCAACAUUCACAUUACAGAGGCUUAUAUCAUCUCCUGCUUUCAUAAACUGACUACAGAAACUAAGAGAGAAGUGCUGAAAAGCUGCUGACUGUUGGAACAACUCUAGAAACAGGCAGGGUACUCGGGGUUAUUUCAGCAAGUGGAAUGGUUAGAACAAGAACUAGGUGACCACGUUCUCUCCUCGAGUCUAGACGGCUGCGUAUUUCAGCAGCGAGAGCGGAAAAUGGCUUUCGGGAUUCCUAGUUUAUCUUGCCGCUGUCACCAUGAACAAAAUCGCUUAAACUCUGUGCCUUAGUUUCCCCUAUUCGUAAAGAGGGGAAUAUUUCAUAAAUGGAUUAUGAGUGUAAAUAUUCACCAGUCUGAAGUGCUUCCAGAAUGAGAGCAGCCUUCCAGACUAGGUGCUAGCACCCGUGAGAAGACCCAGGUUCUCAUGGUAACUCAAAGGAACAGAAAGUCACUUCUCUGUUUCCCCUCCCACCUUUGAAAUUCGAAAGAUGACAGCUUAAAAAGAUUAAGCUGCUCAAUACUUCCACACUUCUCUGAAAAUCCUACGGAGAUGAAUUCCAGGGAACAGGAACUCGCUCUGAUUUGUAUGUGUACAGGACGCAGAGCUUAGAGUUCAGUGGUUUCUUAGAGGUUUCUAAGGCACUAAUGUAAAUCAAACAGUCAGAUGACACCAGGUUUAAGAAGUUAACACACCCAGAGCUGUGUCUACAAUAGAUGAAAAGGAUGCAACAAACGUUUGUUUUCUUUCUGAAAAACGUUAAUAAAGCUGGAAAUACAAAACGUUCAACAGUGCAGAGGGUCAGCACACAGGAGAUUUCUUUCACUUCCUAUCUCACGGAAAACGCAAAGGUGAGUGCAACUUCCCCACGCUGGAAAAGUCGAGAACACAUUUUAAUCCAAAGGUAAAGAAAACCCUGGAGAAACGUUCACAGUUGCAGGCAAGCCUGAGCUCACCCUUCUGUCCCAUUUAAGACAACCUGCUCCUCCAACAGCAGCACCUUGUGCAGGAACAGAGCAGGAAUCGGGGCAACGACGGCACCCGCCACCCAGCCCAGCGCUACCUCCCGCAGCACCUGAUCCUUACGCAGGAGGCACCUCGACGUGGAGUUCCCAGGACAGCAGCAUUUUCAGUUCAUACCCAGUCUGAAUCCAAAUCAGCUUUCAAGCAAGGACAAGCCUUUAUAAUCAGUCCAGUGCUAUAUUAACUCAAUCAUUUAAUAGCAAUACAGAAUAAGAUUAUUUAUUUACACAAACAUGUAUAUGCACUGAAAGGACAAUAUAUCCACCGUGCUCAGCUCUUCCUCUGCAGCAAACUAAAUGUUAAAGGCUGCUUAACGCUAAACAGCUCCCUAACACCGAAUUGCAGCAGCGUGGUAGAUUCCUCCGUGCUGUCUCACCUUCCUCUGUGAGGCAGCCCAAAGGCGGUCCUGCACGCUGCGCAGAGAAGAUGCGGUUUCCCAACAAUGAGGCGAUGAAAUCCACUUUUUGGCAGCCAGCACAGAUGACUAAAUUACAUGAGGCUGAGCAGAGACACUCACCUGAUCUUCCUCGCUUAGAGGGGUGCUUUCCAAUUACUUUGGUUAUGUUCAGACUUCAGAUAACCUCUGUUUUCUUUCCUGGUUUGGGUCCCUGUAAAAGAAAGGUCAAUAAUGAGUCCAUAAUAUCAAUCCAAUGAAACAGAUUAUAGUGGAGCACAGCACAUUAUCCUCUUUAAGUUUGUCACAUGCAUAUAUUUUCCCACACAUUUUCACUUGAAUUGAACAUAAAUAUGUUUAACUUUGACCAAAUCUUAUACCAUGAUUUAAGCACAGCAAAUUAAGCUCUCUUAAUAAUAAGAAAGUCUGAAACAGCCUGAAUGGAGUUCACUUUGAAGCAGCGCUGAAGUGAUGCCAGCCACUGCUCAGCCUGAUUUCCCGUCAGUUGAACGGCUUGGUCCUUCCUUCAUUGGGGUAAAAACGACGCUCAUCUUGACACGGUCACUGAUGGACGAGGGGGCACACAAAUCCUCCUUCGCUAACCCGGAUCCGCUUAGCAACAGAAGAGCGUUUCACUGAAGUUAGCAUCACUCAUGUUUCUGUACGACUGCCAUCAGCCUUGCUGGGGUCCUGGUAGCCAGCAGUCAUCUGCUCUCAUCUUCCACAGAGCAUUUUCACUUGCACAGGUGUUUCACAUGGACUAAGAUAAUUCUUAAGUGUAGCAGAACAUGGGUGUAAAGUAUUGCACACACAGUAGCAUAAUGGCUAAUUGCAGGGACAGUCAAUGGUAGAAAACACUGAGACGUCACUGCAUCUCAUGACCCUGUCAAGACACAAGUAGGUGCAUGUUAGAACAGGAUUUGGGAGGUAAGGUUGGAGAGUUUUUCGUUUCGUUGUUUUUUGGUUUUUUUUCUGGAAAGAGUUCACGUGCUUAUUUGUCGCUGUACACCGUUUUGCUUUACAAUAAUUUAAAAUACAGAGCAUACUCUUAUUGUGAUUAGGUUUGGGAAAAGAUCUUGGCAUUUGGGAAAGUAAAUAAUACGUCUUUCCAGAUGCUGCAAUUCAGCUUAUGCUAGAUAAAAUUUUGGUCUGAAAUCUGGGUAUUUUUGGAGACUAAACUGGAUUCUGAAACUUUCAUUCCCAGCUAAUUCCACGUCAGCCUGGCAAGCUUGUGCCUUUUUUCCUGACAGAUUAAAUAUUAUUUUAUCCCACAUGUAAGAGACUUGCAAAUAUCAAAGCAAUGACUAUAUAUAGGAAUGUAUUUUUGUUAUUAUAAAACUUGCCUUUUCUAAAUUGCUUUGAAGAGUUCACACAUGUGUUUUUUGGGUUUUUUUUUAAUAGAUUGAAUAUGUUCUGAGCAAACCUGGCUGUUUUAGCCAGAGGACUGAAUCAGCAGCAGCAAUGGCAGGGCAGGAUGCCACCAGUCCUCCACCCACCAAAAGCAGUUCCAAGAUCUAGGAAGUGGAGAUUUGUGAUUUGCUUAUUUGAGCCUCAGCAUUUUAGUGUCGAGGGGCUAAGUAGGGGAAGGCACUUGACCAUUCCAUACUGGCCCAGGAUCAAAUUGGCUUCAUACGAGCUUCCAAUCAUCAUCAAGACUGACUAGAUUUUAACUAUUUCAUUAUUUUUAUUGCCCAUAGUAAGAAAAGGUAUAAAGUAAACAUUAAAUUAAACAGUUAAACAUUAAGGUAAAACAUUAAGUUUGAGGCUUCCUUAAAACUCAAUGAUCUAAAGCUGAUAGGGUAGAGAAAAAGGACAUGUCUCAAAGUGAAGGUCCAUGUAGCCAAGGCUAAUACAUCUAGCAGGACCAGUGCGAGAUGGUUAGGGAAUAGGGUAUCUAAAACAUGAACUGCCCCCCCAACCAUGCCCUUCUUCCAAGCCUCCAAUAAUCUCCAGCACUGAGUUGUUUAUAAAAUGAUUUUAAAAUAUGCAUUAACCUUUUAAUCUCAAGCCUGCACAAAUCAUCUGUGUAUCCUCUGCUUAAUGGCAAUUCAUUUAUAUUGCUAUGAUGCAUUUUUCUUUAUAGAUCUGCUGUCUCAGCUCACACAUAAGCAGGAGGUAACCUCUGGGGUAGGAACAGCAGCUGUCCCAAACCCGAUCACCUGGAAUUCAAGCAAGCAGCCCUGGCACAGCUAUCAGAAGACAGCUCAUUAGACAUGAGCAUGAUUUACAACCAGGCUGUAUCAAUCAAUGUUUUAUUAGACCAAUCUCGCAUCUUAGCGCAAAUCAAGCACCUACUUCUGUAAAGAGGCAUGUUUAUGGCAAGACAGUAACUUCAAAAACACAGCACGGCAAACCUGACUGCCUGGGACAGAAACCAAAAACGAAGUCUCCAAGAAAUAUUGCUUUCAUAAGCUUACCUGAAACCAUGCACAGCAGGAAAAGGGCAAAGUACCACCACCUCACAUGAAAUCCAUUUCAGAUCUACUCUACUACCUUCUAGGCAGGAGGGUUCUUACUAAGGAAAGCUUUUUGUGGUUUUGUGGGGGGCGAAGGGGAUGCAGACAACAAAAGGCAAGAGAAGGACAAGGUUACUUAAUUCUAAGUGUCAAGACUACCAAGUCAGACACUGGGUGCUAUAUCAAAAGAGUAAGUUAAAGGAGCAACAAAUGGGUGCCUGUACUAAGUUUACUCAUUAAGAAAACCUUUCUAUUCCAGAUCUUGAAGAUUUUCAGCCUGAAGUUUGUGUCAGCAAGAUUCAAUACAGAUUUUCGUCAUCACUCAAUCAUUAAAGCUCAUACAGAAUUAAAAUCUACCUUCUUUGCACGCAGAAGAGACGGGGACUAGUCAGUCUGCUGAAACUAUUCAGUUUGCUCACUGACCACAAACUCGUUAUUUUUGCCUUUCUCCUUCAACUGCUUGCAUGUCAUUUGCAUUGUUUAAAGUCAAAACAAGACCACCUCAACUUGCAGCUACAGUAUGUCUCAUUUCAUACAUCACCAGUCAUGCUGGAAUUACAACUUUGCAUGUUAUUUUGUUAAUGUGCAAGAAGCAGAAGAGAAACCAGCUUACGCUUCUGAAAUUACAUCGGCUCUGCAGUGCUGACAGCAGGAAAAAACAUCAGUAAACUUAACAGAUAUGACUCAGGACAAACAAUUCUCAUUGCAAUCCAAUUUCUGACCAUGUAGCCACGCUAGCCCCAGGGACACUAGCCAAUGUGAUAGCGUUCAAGAACACCACACCUUCAAUAACUAUGAAGUUGCUCAUUUCUGGGGUGCAUCUCUGCCUCGGCUCAUUGAUGCUGAAAUCAGCAGCAUCUGGACAAUACUGUUCUUCUUGCAGUCUCAGAGAUGCACUGUACGAAACUCUACAUUCUCCACUACUCUUACUCUACCCUUUAUUCCACUAAACUCAGAACGGCAGGCAAGCACGCUUUCUUCUCACACCAUUUAGCACAGACUCUUUUGCAUAUCAGUGUCCUCAACUUUUUAGGUGUUUAUUUAAUAGAAAUUCACUAAUUUGAAAUUUUUGUCCUUUCCUUUACUUUCCAAACUGUGUCCCAGUUAGUUCUUUAGUGUUUGAGUACAAUCUUUAUUAAGAUCACACAAGAUCUACUUACUAUCUGUAUGGUAUGUGCUCAUUCAGCUGCCCCAAGAUCUAGCACUGACAGCAGAAGAGGAAAAGGCUGAGAACAAGGGGUUCCUUGGGGCUGUUGAAGACACCACUGACAUGUGACCAUUGCUGUUCCCCUACAGAAGUUUAAGUCCUUUGAAAGCAGCAACACUCUUUCAGACUUCAAACAGAACACAAGAUCAGGACAUCAAUUUCACAUUGACAUUUUUAUUAACGCCAACUGUUUUAAUUUUUUUUUUUUAAACAAUAGCACAAAAAUGUUUCAGGGAAGCAGUCUGACAGUUAGUCUGAUGACCUUCUGAAAUACAGUUAAGCCACACCAAAUACGAAUUCCUGUUAAAGAAAAAAAAUAUAUGGAACUCCAACCUUUGUAUUAGAGGGUGUUGUCUGGUUAGUAGACCACGCUGCUUUGUGAAGUAAAUGAUGGCACACAACUUAGACUUCAUCAUCACGCCAGUCAUCACUAAUUUAAGGCUUCUGAAUCAAAUUACCAUCAACAUCACGAAAGGAACGAAAAGCUAGUGUUGCUACGGCCAUGAGGAGAUUGAACAAGCUGGAUCUUUUAGACAAGUAACGGUGUCUUGAAUAGAAGAGGCCUGCCCUUACAGCAGUCCGGGAGAACCAAUCACGCAGUACUUAUCUCCUCAUUUGCAUGCAUUUUGAGGGUGCAAUUUAGUAAGAAAAAAAAUAUAUUGCAUGAAUCGUUCUCUUAUUUAAUGUGGCUAUGAAAGAUGUUUCCUUACAAUUCCAUUAUCUCUAAGAAGGACAUCAGCAAAUGGAACCAAGGAGAAAAACCAAAGAGCGACAGAACAUUUUUCUUUUUGCUGAGAGGUAACACAAAAGGGAGGGAACCUACUAUCCUUGGAUUGGAUUGGGGGGGUUGCAGGAACAUCUCCCCAAAACCUCACACUUGGAAUUAUGCAGAGACUAUCUUAUAUUAGCUACCUGCCUUUCCCAGUGAACUGUUCCACAAAAUGCUCUCAGAGGCAUUAACCCAUUCCUGCCCCAGACUCUCCACAAAAUUCCACUGACCUAGAAACCUCUGUUUUUCUUUUUUCUUUUUUUUUGGGGGGGGAGGGGGACUGUAAAAAACAGAACAUCUGUCAAUAAGAGUGUUGAGGGGGGGUGUUAAAUAUUUUAACCACUGACAAGGCUUGAGGAAGUUUCACAGUUUUGUUAUGCUCUAUUUUAUUACUAUCAUAUUUACAGAUUUUUUACUUUUUUUUUGCUGAAUUGCUGAUAAUUUUAAUAGAAUUUAAUUCUGGAGUGUGAGCAGGAACCAGUUAACUACAUUCAUUGUCCAAUCCCCAUUGGUUUGAGAAAAAGACUCCAAAUUCUUGGCAUAUGAAUCAGCUGUUGGGUAGCUCCUCCCUCUCCCCAUGAUGAGGCAGCAGGACUGCAGCGGUGGCAUGCACAGAUUCACACCAUGGCUGGUGGGGCCUUGCGCUGCAGAAAAUAUUGGUGGAUGUUCUCGGCGUCCCGCUUCAGCCAAGCUGCAUUCAGCAGAAUGUUUUCACAGCACUGCUGGACAGUGCGUUCUGCCGAUGGAGCUGGGUGACUCUCAAAGAAGGCCUGUAUAAAAAGCACACAACCAUCCAUAAGAGUAUAAACAGCCAUAGACAAGAUUAUAUUUUUAGUCACCAAAAUUCCCUAGGUUAUGUAGAAAUGCUCCUAGGAAUUACGGUUUUUUCCUGACUACUGUUCAUGCUAUCUUCUCCCACCAAUGUCACUGAGACCGUGAAAGAGAAAAGCUUGCAGGGUGCUUGCAGAGUUUGCAAGACAGGCAUGAUCUGAAGUACUGAGUGAGAACAGCAAAAUGUCUCAAUUUCUCUGCUAAAGGAAAGCCACAGUAUCAUUUCUACAAACUAGUCCAAACGCUGCCUCCUCCCUCUCUUGUCCAGGCUGCCAAGGACAGUAAGCAGCACUUGAAGAGAUGAUCAGAAUUCAGUCCCUCAUUGGAAGGCAACAAAUGAGCAGCAAAUCAAACGUGUAUUUCUGGAUACUUGGAAGAAGACUCUAACUGAAGCCUAAGGCCAUUUUGCAAAAGCAUUUGUCCAGAUAUCAAAUUUCUUAGCACCGUCUUAAGUAGGCCUCUGUCCAAAGUGGAUAAUGACAUCCAAGCACCAGCAGCACUCAGAGUUUUGCUGGAUAUUCUCAUGUUCCUUCCCCCAGAAUGAACAAUAUCGAUCACCUGCAAGUAGCUGAAGCGAAAGCGACUGCAAAGACUGCUGUGACCCUUCAGUUCAGAAUUGGUUAAAGGGCAGAAUAAGCUGACAUAGCGGGGAGUCAUCCCUCAUCUUUGUAAAAGUAGACUUUUCCCAGUAUUCAGCAGAUCACCUUACAUUAGUGUCUGCUACAGAGUGACAUGGACACUCAAGACACAUCAGUAUCCCAGCUAAAAACCUAGGUAUACUGUCUCAUGAAGCCCUCUUGGAACAUGGUUAUGAUUUAGUUGUGGACAAUUGUGCUGGUAAAUGUUUUGCAAAGCGCUCUGUAAGAAAAGUAGGGAUUUACAGUGCAAGAUUUCCCUAUCAAGAAAAGAUUUAGCAGCAUUUCUAAAGGGAAUAAGAUCAUCAGAUCAUUAAAAAGAAAGAAGAGGUUUGUGGAUCAGCAUGUCUUCAAACAGUAGUUAUAACUAGGGAUUCUGGAUUCAGAUUCACAUUCUUUGAAAUAAAAAUUCCUCCUCAACAUUUUCCUAACAAAAAAGAUAAUCAAGGGCCAUAUCUUUAAGCGUUUUCUUCCAAGAAUGAGCCAUGGAAAAACUGCAGGCAAAGACUGAAUAACACAACCUACACACAUUCUCAAAAUGCUACCAAGACCAGUGCCUACACACGCAAGACACAGGGGAUGCUUGGGCUCAGUAGUGAAAGCACAUCACCUUGAGCCACCAACUUCACGACAGACUCUCCGCAAACAAAUUAUCUGCCUCAUGUCAAAGCCUCACUCUUCCUACACACCACGAAUGGCCACACAAAAUUUGGAUCUACAGUAUGGAAUUUAGCUAAUUUCUACCAAGUUAACUCCCCCAAGGGUCACAGUGUGCUAAUGCAAUCAGUCAUGAAUGUGCCAUAUUAGUCCAGGGAGGAACAAAGCUUACUACAGAAGUUGUAAGAACUACAAAUUUUGCUACAAUUGUUUUUAAAGGCUAUCUUUUGGGGACUCUCAAAACCACUGCCUGAACCACUGUGCUGAAUUUUAUAAAAGUUUAAAUGAGUGAGACUACUGAAAUAGAAAUCACUACACAAAAAUACACAUUGAUUUCUGAAAAUGUUAAUUUAAGACAUUUCAGUAAAAUAACCAAAGCUAAACCAGUGCUAUUUAGGGACUAGGCAACACAGUCAAAACAGUCAGACAGAGCCAGAGUUCAAAAACAAAACACCCCACAGAAACUCAUGGCUCUUCCAUUAGGUACUUACAGUCCAAAGAAUGCAAUGUCUGUCACAGAUAAAGUAAAUCACUUAUUUGAUUAAAAUUUCUUACCUUAA